RNAcentral lists this ribosomal RNA (383 nucleotides) under uncultured bacterium. RNAcentral's name for it is "bacterial SSU rRNA". It matches the Rfam family "Bacterial small subunit ribosomal RNA", at positions 30 to 414 of the family's 1533-position model. The record is from RNAcentral.
AUUGAACGCUGGCGGCAUGCCUUACACAUGCAAGUCGAACGGCAGCGGACCUUCGGGUGCCGGCGAGUGGCUAACGGGUGAGUAAUAUAUCGGAACGUACCUUUCAGUGGGGGAUAACGUAGCGAAAGUUACGCUAAUACCGCAUAUUCUGUGAGCAGGAAAGCAGGGGAUCGCAAGACCUUGCGCUGGAUUGAGCGGCCGAUAUCAGAUUAGCUAGUUGGUGAGGUAAAGGCUCACCAAGGCGACGAUCUGUAGCGGGUCUGAGAGGAUGAUCCGCCACACUGGAACUGAGACACGGUCCAGACUCCUACGGGAGGCAGCAGUGGGGAAUUUUGGACAAUGGGCGCAAGCCUGAUCCAGCCAUGCCGCGUGAGUGAAGAAGG